RNAcentral lists this ribosomal RNA (460 nucleotides) under uncultured bacterium. RNAcentral describes it as "partial 16S ribosomal RNA". It matches the Rfam family "Bacterial small subunit ribosomal RNA", at positions 338 to 795 of the family's 1533-position model. The record is from RNAcentral.
CCUACGGGUGGCAGCAGUGAGGAAUAUUGGUCAAUGGGCUUACGCCUGAACCAGCCAAGUCGCGUGAGGGAAGAAUGCCCUAUGGGUUGUAAACCUCUUUUGUCAGGGAGCAACGCCGGCUACGUGUCGCCGGACUGAGAGUACCUGAAGAAAAAGCAUCGGCUAACUCCCUGCCAGCAGCCGCGGUAAUACGGGGGAUGCGAGCGUUAUCCGGAUUUAUUGGGUUUAAAGGGUGCGUAGGCGGAAUGCCAAGUCAGCGGUAAAAUCGCGGGGCUCAACCUCGCUCCGCCGUUGAAACUGGCGUGCUUGAGUGGGCGAGAAGUAUGCGGAAUGCGUGGUGUAGCGGUGAAAUGCAUAGAUAUCACGCAGAACUCCGAUUGCGAAGGCAGCAUACCGGCGCCCAACUGACGCUGAAGCACGAAAGCGUGGGUAUCGAACAGGAUUAGAUACCCUGGUAGUC